GCCGGGCUGGUGCGCGCGGCGGCCCUGCUGGCGUUCCGGCCGCUGCUGACCGCGGUCGCCGUGGUGCGCGCGGGGGUCCGGGCCGCGGCCCGCCGC
Molecule: transfer RNA, 96 nt
Filed under: Streptomyces globisporus
Lineage: Bacteria; Bacillati; Actinomycetota; Actinomycetes; Kitasatosporales; Streptomycetaceae
Description: tRNA-Arg
Source: RNAcentral